RNAcentral lists this ribosomal RNA (274 nucleotides) under uncultured bacterium. Its description in RNAcentral is "partial 16S ribosomal RNA". It matches the Rfam family "Bacterial small subunit ribosomal RNA", at positions 333 to 599 of the family's 1533-position model. The record is from RNAcentral.
UAUUACCUACGGGGGGCAGCAGUAGGGAAUCUUCCACAAUGGGCGAAAGCCUGAUGGAGCAACGCCGCGUGGGUGAAGAAGGUCUUCGGAUCGUAAUACCCUGUUGUUAGAGAAGAAAGUGCGUGAGAGUAACUGUUCACGUUUCGACGGUAUCUAACCAGAAAGCCACGGCUAACUACGUGCCAGCAGCCGCGGGAAUACGAAGGUGGCAAGCGUUAUCCGGAUUUAUUGGGCGUAAAGGGAACGCAGGCGGUCGUUUAAGGCUGAUGUGAAA